GGUUGAGACGGCUGGGAGAGAAGAAGGGCACAUGCUUCGUCCUUUUAGUUCACAGGUCUCUGGAUCAACAGAUGCUGUACCCAAGGAGCUGGACCUGUGGAAUUAUCCCCCAGGAAUUUUGACUGCACCUGGAUUGGAUUUAGUGUAAGAAGAGUAACUGUCAUGAGCCUCAAAUGAGUUCUGCAGUAGAGAAACCAUAUAAUGAAGUAAAGAAAAAAACAAACAACAACAAAAAAAAAACCUUUAUACUGAUCACUACAUGGGCAAAAAAGAAGACAGUUGUAGAGGUAUGAUGGAAUAAAAAAAUUGAUCAGUCAGAUGGCAAAACUGUCAUCUUCAUCAAAAUGCCAGGAUUUCCAGCUGAUGCCUAAGUGGAUUUUUCUGGAAGAAAGAAUGUAUCUUUAGAAAGCAGAGUGAGGAUCCUUCCUAAUGUAAUUUGAAACAUAGUUUCGUAUGUCUAACUUCUGCUUUGCCUCAUGCUCACUGAAAUCUACAGCUAGCCUCAUUUUCCACUUGUUUUUGACUCUCUCAGGCAUCUUGAGGAUUGAGAUCAUGUCGUAGUUAUCUUUUAGACUUAGUAAAUGAGUAAUAAAUGUUUCUUUUGAGUGACUCAAAA
RNAcentral lists this long non-coding RNA (616 nucleotides) under Homo sapiens (human). RNAcentral describes it as "HSALNT0140213". Lineage: Eukaryota; Metazoa; Chordata; Mammalia; Primates; Hominidae. The record is from RNAcentral.